RNAcentral lists this ribosomal RNA (2923 nucleotides) under Klebsiella quasipneumoniae. Its description in RNAcentral is "23S ribosomal RNA". It matches the Rfam family "Bacterial large subunit ribosomal RNA". The record is from RNAcentral. Lineage: Bacteria; Pseudomonadati; Pseudomonadota; Gammaproteobacteria; Enterobacterales; Enterobacteriaceae.
GGGUUGUGAGGUUAAGCGACUAAGCGUACACGGUGGAUGCCCUGGCAGUCAGAGGCGAUGAAGGACGUGCUAAUCUGCGAAAAGCGUCGGUAAGGUGAUAUGAACCGUUACAGCCGGCGAUGUCCGAAUGGGGAAACCCAGUGUGAUUCGUCACACUAUCGUUAACUGAAUACAUAGGUUAACGAGGCGAACCGGGGGAACUGAAACAUCUAAGUACCCCGAGGAAAAGAAAUCAACCGAGAUUCCCCCAGUAGCGGCGAGCGAACGGGGAGCAGCCCAGAGUCUGAAUCAGCUUGUGUGUUAGUGGAACGGUCUGGAAAGUCCGACGGUACAGGGUGAUAGUCCCGUACACCAAAAUGCACAGGCUGUGAACUCGAAGAGUAGGGCGGGACACGUGGUAUCCUGUCUGAAUAUGGGGGGACCAUCCUCCAAGGCUAAAUACUCCUGACUGACCGAUAGUGAACCAGUACCGUGAGGGAAAGGCGAAAAGAACCCCGGCGAGGGGAGUGAAAAAGAACCUGAAACCGUGUACGUACAAGCAGUGGGAGCACCUUCGGGUGUGACUGCGUACCUUUUGUAUAAUGGGUCAGCGACUUAUAUUCUGUAGCAAGGUUAACCGUAUAGGGGAGCCGCAGGGAAACCGAGUCUUAACUGGGCGUUAAGUUGCAGGGUAUAGACCCGAAACCCGGUGAUCUAGCCAUGGGCAGGUUGAAGGUUGGGUAACACUAACUGGAGGACCGAACCGACUAAUGUUGAAAAAUUAGCGGAUGACUUGUGGCUGGGGGUGAAAGGCCAAUCAAACCGGGAGAUAGCUGGUUCUCCCCGAAAGCUAUUUAGGUAGCGCCUCGUGAACUCAUCUUCGGGGGUAGAGCACUGUUUCGGCUAGGGGGUCAUCCCGACUUACCAACCCGAUGCAAACUACGAAUACCGAAGAAUGUUAUCACGGGAGACACACGGCGGGUGCUAACGUCCGUCGUGAAGAGGGAAACAACCCAGACCGCCAGCUAAGGUCCCAAAGUCAUGGUUAAGUGGGAAACGAUGUGGGAAGGCACAGACAGCCAGGAUGUUGGCUUAGAAGCAGCCAUCAUUUAAAGAAAGCGUAAUAGCUCACUGGUCGAGUCGGCCUGCGCGGAAGAUGUAACGGGGCUAAACCAUGCACCGAAGCUGCGGCAGCGACACUAUGUGUUGUUGGGUAGGGGAGCGUUCUGUAAGCCUGCGAAGGUGACCUGUGAGGGUUGCUGGAGGUAUCAGAAGUGCGAAUGCUGACAUAAGUAACGAUAAAGCGGGUGAAAAGCCCGCUCGCCGGAAGACCAAGGGUUCCUGUCCAACGUUAAUCGGGGCAGGGUGAGUCGACCCCUAAGGCGAGGCCGAAAGGCGUAGUCGAUGGGAAACAGGUUAAUAUUCCUGUACUUGGUGUUACUGCGAAGGGGGGACGGAGAAGGCUAUGUUAGCCGGGCGACGGUUGUCCCGGUUUAAGCAUGUAGGCUGGUUAUCCAGGCAAAUCCGGAUAAUCAAGGCUGAGGUGUGAUGACGAGGCACUACGGUGCUGAAGUAACAAAUGCCCUGCUUCCAGGAAAAGCCUCUAAGCAUCAGGUAACACGAAAUCGUACCCCAAACCGACACAGGUGGUCAGGUAGAGAAUACCAAGGCGCUUGAGAGAACUCGGGUGAAGGAACUAGGCAAAAUGGUGCCGUAACUUCGGGAGAAGGCACGCUGGUGUGUAGGUGAAGUCCCUGCGGAUGGAGCUGAGACCAGUCGAAGAUACCAGCUGGCUGCAACUGUUUAUUAAAAACACAGCACUGUGCAAACACGAAAGUGGACGUAUACGGUGUGACGCCUGCCCGGUGCCGGAAGGUUAAUUGAUGGGGUUAUCCGUAAGGAGAAGCUCUUGAUCGAAGCCCCGGUAAACGGCGGCCGUAACUAUAACGGUCCUAAGGUAGCGAAAUUCCUUGUCGGGUAAGUUCCGACCUGCACGAAUGGCGUAAUGAUGGCCAGGCUGUCUCCACCCGAGACUCAGUGAAAUUGAACUCGCUGUGAAGAUGCAGUGUACCCGCGGCAAGACGGAAAGACCCCGUGAACCUUUACUAUAGCUUGACACUGAACAUUGAGCCUUGAUGUGUAGGAUAGGUGGGAGGCUUUGAAGCGUGGACGCCAGUCUGCGUGGAGCCAACCUUGAAAUACCACCCUUUAAUGUUUGAUGUUCUAACGUUGGCCCCUUAUCGGGGUUGCGGACAGUGUCUGGUGGGUAGUUUGACUGGGGCGGUCUCCUCCCAAAGCGUAACGGAGGAGCACGAAGGUUAGCUAAUCCUGGUCGGACAUCAGGAGGUUAGUGCAAUGGCAUAAGCUAGCUUGACUGCGAGCGUGACGGCGCGAGCAGGUGCGAAAGCAGGUCAUAGUGAUCCGGUGGUUCUGAAUGGAAGGGCCAUCGCUCAACGGAUAAAAGGUACUCCGGGGAUAACAGGCUGAUACCGCCCAAGAGUUCAUAUCGACGGCGGUGUUUGGCACCUCGAUGUCGGCUCAUCACAUCCUGGGGCUGAAGUAGGUCCCAAGGGUAUGGCUGUUCGCCAUUUAAAGUGGUACGCGAGCUGGGUUUAGAACGUCGUGAGACAGUUCGGUCCCUAUCUGCCGUGGGCGCUGGAGAAUUGAGGGGGGCUGCUCCUAGUACGAGAGGACCGGAGUGGACGCAUCACUGGUGUUCGGGUUGUCAUGCCAAUGGCACUGCCCGGUAGCUAAAUGCGGAAGAGAUAAGUGCUGAAAGCAUCUAAGCACGAAACUUGCCCCGAGAUGAGUUCUCCCUGAGACUUUAAGUCUCCUGAAGGAACGUUGAAGACGACGACGUUGAUAGGCCGGGUGUGUAAGCGCAGCGAUGCGUUGAGCUAACCGGUACUAAUGAACCGUGAGGCUUAACCUUACAACGCCGAAG